AAAAUCCGUCGACUUUCUAAGUCGUGAGGG
Molecule: transfer RNA, 30 nt
Filed under: Maltebrunia letestui
Lineage: Eukaryota; Viridiplantae; Streptophyta; Magnoliopsida; Poales; Poaceae
Description: partial tRNA-Leu
Source: RNAcentral